UCCUUGUGCUUGUGAGGUAGGCAUGUUUUGUUUUGUUUUGUUUGAGACAGGGUCCUGCUCUGCAGUUCAGACCAGACUUGGAUUUGCUAUGUAGCCCAGGCUGGCCUCCAGUUUGAGAUUCUCCUGCCUCAGCCUCCUGAGCACUGAAAUUAUAGGGUCCACAGAAGAGAGCCUGAAAACUCCCAUCCCACACAGACUUCUACUUCUUUAUCCCGUGGAGCAGGGGUGGCACUGGGGGUCCCCAGCUCUUCCCCUCCUGCCUACAGGAGCCUCUUUCUCCAGCUGCCACUUGACCUCUGCCACACCUGACAACUGUCCCUCAGGGGCAGGGCCAACUCCCCUGGAAGCUUCACUUGUACAAACACACUGUGGCAGUCACCCGAGUUUCUUCACAGCAGGUGGAAAAGCUAUGGCUCUAAAUGACUGCCAUUCUAGGCCUCAGCCUCUGGCCUGGAGGAAAACCAAAGACAGCGCGGCUCACGGAAGACUUCCCCAGAGCCUCCCCGCCUGCUGUGACCCAGCCUCCAUAUUCCAGCCCAGCGCAUCUCGCUGGCACUUGGGGACAAAGGAGUCCCUACCACCUGAAGACCAGGAUAAAAAUUCACAGAGAUCAGCCGGUGUUUUUAGAUUCUUUGGUGCUGAGGAUGGCGCUCAGGGCUGUAUGCAUGCUGGG
This is a long non-coding RNA of Fukomys damarensis (Damara mole-rat), 673 nucleotides long. RefSeq lists it as uncharacterized. The transcript is spliced from 3 exons. The record is from RefSeq and is a predicted model, not a curated record. Lineage: Eukaryota; Metazoa; Chordata; Mammalia; Rodentia; Bathyergidae.